UACGGAGGAUGCGAGCGUUAUCCGGAUUUAUUGGGUUUAAAGGGUGCGUAGGCGGCUUUUUAAGUCAGCGGUGAAAUUUCGCAGCUUAACUGUAACAGUGCCGUUGAUACUGGGGAGCUAGGAUUUGGUUGCUGUGGGUGGAAUGUGUGGUGUAGCGGUGGAAUGCUUAGAGAUCACACAGAAUAUCGAUUGCGAAGGCAGCUCACAAAGCCAAGAUUGACGCUGAGGCACGAAAGUGUGGGGAGUCAAACAGGAUUA
RNAcentral lists this ribosomal RNA (258 nucleotides) under uncultured prokaryote. RNAcentral's name for it is "partial 16S ribosomal RNA". It matches the Rfam family "Bacterial small subunit ribosomal RNA", at positions 524 to 780 of the family's 1533-position model. The record is from RNAcentral.